CGAGCUACAAGAGAAAUAAGUUACAAACAUCUUUGAGCAAGACGUUAGAUUUUUUUUUAAACUUUAUUAUUUAUUUUCAGUGUGAGUAGACUGUGCCGACGUUACGUUGUGUUCAAAUUCCACCCAGAGUCUGAAUUUAGAGCUGGCGAGACUGCACCAUCUGACUUGUGUAGUCCCAGAACUUCCCAGCCUUAAAUGUGCAUCGACACGUAACUACAGGGUGAACGUGAGUGGAAGAUAGCAUCGGUUCUCCGUCCCCCUUGCUGGAUUGAAGAUUCAACUUCAGGAGUCACGAACAACGUGCUGGUCGGCAAGGACACUCGUCAGCACGAAGUCAGCAAAGGUUCUUUUUGUCUGAUCGUGGACUUGGUGUGCGCGGGAUGCCACGCGGUUCUCGGGAUGAUCUACAGGUCGACGCCCAAGAACUUCAACUACAAGAGAUGCACCUUCUGCUUCAACGUGGCCUGCAUCGACAGGUAGCUCGCCUCAAAUUUGC
Hippocampus comes (tiger tail seahorse) is the source of this 496-nucleotide long non-coding RNA. RefSeq lists it as uncharacterized. The transcript has 3 exons. The record is from RefSeq and is a predicted model, not a curated record. Lineage: Eukaryota; Metazoa; Chordata; Actinopteri; Syngnathiformes; Syngnathidae.